This 802-nucleotide long non-coding RNA is filed under the name Setaria italica (foxtail millet). RNAcentral describes it as "long non-coding RNA (SITA_LNC005656)". Lineage: Eukaryota; Viridiplantae; Streptophyta; Magnoliopsida; Poales; Poaceae. The record is from RNAcentral.
CUAUUUAGCUCAAACCUGAUAGGUAUUGACCUGUGUUACCAAGAUUGCAAGUUCAGAUACAGAGCUCAUCUCAGAACAAUUCAGAAAGUAUCUCAAGCUGAUAGUCCAAGUGCCUAAUUCGUACAUGCCUAAAUCAUUCUCUCAGUAUAAGAAGAACCUACAAUAUAUAUUCUCAACGUGUGCCAUUGCUUGUAGGCAUAAAUUCUAUAAUAAGUUUAAUGCCUCAAUUGCUACAGAUAAGAAAGAUCUAGUAAAUUUUUGGUAGAAUAUUAUUUUCUAGUCGUUGAAAUCAAUUAUAUUAAAGGUUUUGUAUAACUUAAUAUGCUUUAAUCCUAUGGCUCGAAAAAGAUACAGCAACAUCACAAUGUUUUCAAACUCAAAAUUGCAUUUUUGUAUGGAGAAACGUUUGAAGCAACCUAAAUGAAAAAGAGCUGUUACAAGUGUUUUGUGUGACAUAUUGGUGAUGUAAAUGGUUGUUGUCGUUAUUCUAGAUCAAUCAGUUGUAAUAGAUGUAAGCAUAAUACAAAGUAUAAAUAUGUUUAGCUUUUUUGGAGCAAACCUUUUGCUGCCUCCUUAUCUUCAAUCUUUUGGAGUGCUCUUUUAUAUUCUGCAUGCCUAUAAUGGAAACACAAUCUUUUAUUACAGAAAAGUGGCAUAAAGGGUGUAGGGUGUAGAAUAUAUUGAUAUGUAAUGUUGCUGCUUUAUGCUACUCAGUCAGGACCUUGCAUAGUCAGUACUACUUCACUUUGGGAAAACAAAGUCUAUUCAAUUUCUACUCUCGAUUUUACCUCAUAUAAAAUCA